Dermacentor albipictus is the source of this 783-nucleotide long non-coding RNA. RefSeq lists it as uncharacterized. NCBI's taxonomy places the organism in Eukaryota, Metazoa, Arthropoda, Arachnida, Ixodida, Ixodidae. The record is from RefSeq and is a predicted model, not a curated record.
CAUGGGGCGGCCUAGGAAAGUUCGUACUGCCGAAGAGGAGGCUGCGCAUCGCGAAGCUAGACUUGCUGCGAUGCGGGAGAAACAACGGUAACGACGGGCCGAUCCAACCUACUUGGCCAGAGAGGACGAAGCCAAGAGCUGGCGACUACGCGAAGACUAAGAAUACGCCAGCCGAGAGAGAGCCAAGCAUCGACGGUUAUUCCAAGACCCUGCAAUGCGGGAGGCCGAGCACGAGCGAUGCCGAGCCUGCGCGCUUCAACCAGCGAUGCCAAGGCUCGGUUUCAACGCUGUGGAAGCAAAGUUAUUUAGACAUGGCCAUGGCCCUCAAGAAAGAUGCCGAAGCCACAGCAGUUGACCACGGAAGCCAAGACCACAAGCAGUUGUUCCUCCAGCGACCGUGAAAAGGUCCCCUGGGGCACAAGUCUAAUUCCGCGCCACCACCUUUCUUCUGCAGUUUUUCUGCCUACUUAGCCAACUAGAUCAGAUACCAGACGAGAAAUACGGCACCUCAAUAUCCGAGUUCAUCGUGGACAUACGAACACUGAUGGCCCACCCAAAGCCGCCGCAGAUUCUCCCGUGUCGACGCAAUCUCCAUGGCCAGAGUUGACUUCGAAAAAAAUGCCACGCCGCAGCGUUGCGACGCCGACCUUCGGGCCGUCCAGUCCUCUAUGAAGUCAUUAGCGCUGUUCUACGUGCCACUGCCAUUUUAAAUGGCAACUCCUGUAUUUUUUGAUGUCCACUGAUCUCAAUAAAGUUCUCUUCGGCACUGAUUACCUGUGCCAA